ACCCUACGGGACGCAGCAGUGAGGAAUAUUGGUCAAUGGCCGGGAGGCUGAACCAGCCAAGUCGCGUGAGGGAAGACGGCCCUACGGGUUGUAAACCUCUUUUGUCAGGGAGCAAGAGGCGGGUCGAGACCUGCUGUGAGAGUACCUGAAGAAAAAGCAUCGGCUAACUCCGUGCCAGCAGCCGCGGGAAUACGGAGGAUGCGAGCGUUAUCCGGAUUUAUUGGGGUUAAAGGGUGCGUAGGCGGGCGUUUUAGUAAGCGGGAAAAAUUCGGGG
RNAcentral lists this ribosomal RNA (274 nucleotides) under uncultured bacterium. RNAcentral describes it as "partial 16S ribosomal RNA". It matches the Rfam family "Bacterial small subunit ribosomal RNA", at positions 335 to 607 of the family's 1533-position model. The record is from RNAcentral.